GAACUGGAAACCAGAAUAUUUUGUUGUGAAAAAUGGUGUGAAAUUUACCUUCUUCCACCAUUGCUCCUGACUUAUCUCCAUUUUUGGUUGCAGACUUCCUUCUCCUCCAAGCUCCUCAUGCUGAGUCAAAAUAAACAGUACAGAAUACAAAUGAUGAGACCAAACUGCAGCAACAGAUUCAAUCUGUGGAUCAGGAAAGUCACAAAGAGCAUCACGAAGGAUAUGUGCAUGAGAGUGUGGAAGCACAUUCCGUUCCUGUGAUUCUGCCAGUAAGCACCAGAUUGCAGCAGUUUCUGUUGGGAGGAACAAGACUUUUCUUUGCAUGAGUGCAGUGCAGAUCUCCCUCUGCAACACGAACAUUUCCAAUUGUAAAGUGAAUCAUUGCUGGGAAGAAGAUGGAGAAAAAUUGACUCAAAGAGUGCGAUGCUCAACAACAACCACGACUAACUCCCUCACUUGACAUCAGUGUGGAGACAUUUACCUUACGGAGGUACAUGAGAGCCUGGAGAUCCUUCCUGCUUACAUGAGAAGCUGCUCUCAUCCUCACUGACCUAUUGCUCAGCAAAGCCUGGGGCUUUGCCGUGAAGUACUAAGAAGGAAGCUGAACAGAUUCAUGAUUUGUGGAACAACACAGGAAAGAAACACUACAAAAAACACACUCAGACCCUGAACUUCUCUGCUGAAGCAUGUUGACAGUACUGCUCUGACUGACUUCUAGCUACUGCACAUUUAGCAUUCAGAAAGGACUCUCUAUGAGGUUUAGCUGAUUUCCUCUGAGAUCCCUCAUUAAUAAGGGCUGGUUGUAGGCCAGCUGAAGCCCUUCUGCAUCUUUCAGCUUUGUGACCUCUUUACGGAUGAGCAGGUGUCCAUUAUACCGGUUUCCCCUGGUGUGCUGCAGCAAUGAAUCACUCUUCUGCAUGAAGGGAAACUCCUCACGUGUUCAAUUAAUUUUGUAUGCAACACGGUGCAAAGAGUAACCAGCCAUACAGCUUUGUGCCCAAGGACGAUUCCCCAGAAUGCAAAUAAGGCCACUUCCAGCCAGCAAAUCACACAUCGGAGUAAACUACAAAGACACAAUGUGAAAGUGCCCUGCCAGUGCUGGAUUUUAGGAUGAACUGUUUCUCAGAAAGAGCAGUCAGGCACUUGCAUAGGCUGCCCUGGGAAGUGGUGGGGUCACUGUCCCUGAAGGUGUUCAAGA
Molecule: long non-coding RNA, 1198 nt
Filed under: Coturnix japonica (Japanese quail)
Lineage: Eukaryota; Metazoa; Chordata; Aves; Galliformes; Phasianidae
Description: lncRNA (ENSCJPG00005003640.1)
Source: RNAcentral